This is a long non-coding RNA of Felis catus (domestic cat), 2201 nucleotides long. RefSeq lists it as uncharacterized. The record is from RefSeq and is a predicted model, not a curated record. The transcript is spliced from 5 exons. Lineage: Eukaryota; Metazoa; Chordata; Mammalia; Carnivora; Felidae.
CUGAGCCCAAAUCAAGUGUCAGAUGCUCAACCGGCUGAGCCACCCAGGCGCUUCCCUAACCUGGUUCUUGAUACACAGUAGAUGCUUAGAAAAUGCUGUUCUGACAACCCCAGCCCCAAGUGCUGUACCCGACAUCUAUUUCGUGCCAGGAGAUGCCACCUCUCUACUUAACUUCUCAUACAUCUCCUAACUGUACUAGAAGAAAAUACUGAAAUCCCAGUUCUGCCCCUUCCAUGCUGAGUGAUCUUUGGCCGGUCCCUUUCCCUCUCUGAACCACACAGUUCUCCACCUGCAAAACAGGUGGAGAGGUUCUGCCCUGUGGGGGGCUCUGCCCCCUGUCCCGAGAGGGCCUGUGACCCCAGGCACGGCCUCGACCCGGCCCCGGAGCCUUACCGAUGCUCUCUGUCUGCAGGUAGCACUUGUUGCCCAGACAGUACCGCCACAGGCCCUGGUGGGCGAAGGACCCGGACAGCCGGUACUGCAUCCAGUGAUCUGUCGCUGUGGCCACCACCAGGAGGAUGGUCCCCACCCAGGCACAGAAGAGGCCGCCACCCAUGAAGCUGUACAUGGUGAUCUAUGGAGAAGGCGAGAGACAGACAGACAGACAGACAGCUCUACCAGAACUUCAGCAUCAGACAGAACCCAGCUCCAGGCUGCCUCGCUCACGGUCCUGUGCUGGAUGAUGCUGAUGGCUCGGAGGUAUCACCGGUCCUUGAAGGGCUGACUUGAGGGGUGGGGGACAGGCACAGAGAUGGACGACGGUAGCAUUCCAGGGCGAUCAGAGCCGGGACACUGGAACAGGCCAGUGAGAGCCCCAAGCCCGGGAGGGAAGGGAAUGCCGCCUGGGGGCAAAGGGGUGACGUGAGGGAAGGGGGUCAGGAAAACUUUGCUGCCUGCCAGCAAGGGGCAGGGUUGGUUGGUUGUUUGGUUUCGGUUUUGGUUUUUUGUGUGUUUUGUUUUGUUUAGGGGAGGUGGCCUUUGGGCUAGGUCUAGAGUGAGAAGAAAUGGUGUGAGCAAAGACCAGGUGGCUGGACCGAAAAGAUUUUAUCAUUGAAGCCAAGACUUUCUCAGCGAGUGUGAUUAGGAUUUGGGUCUCAUCCUUUGGUUAUGUCGUAUCCCAAAGAGGCGUGGCUAUUUUGUCGAGACAGGGCUUGGAAAUGAAGGUUCGAAUCCCCGCUCCGCUACUUACAAGUCCGUGACCUAAAGCAAACUGCUUAAACUUUUGGGGUCCCCUGUUUCUUCGAGAGAUAGCCCUCCUGGUCAAUUCCAACAUAUGGAAUGGCUUUCGAUUUUGUUCUGCUACUGUUUCUAUUUCUGUGAAGAGGUCCGACGUCGACUUACCAAGGACCUGGCCCUUUAAGGCCCUCCUCCCACGCUAGGGAGCGGAGGCGGGCUCUAGUGUCUCUAAGGGAAUGUCCUGCAUCCGUUUUCCAACAUUGGGAGGCAAGUUCUGCAAGUGACCAAUCAACUCCUGCGUCGGGGGCAGCGAAACUUCCGAUUCGUGGGGAAACUCCAGCAGCGUUGCGUUUGAGCUCCGCCCACUCCGUGUUAGACAGCCGCGCGAGACAGUCAUUCUCGGCUCUGAUUGAGUCCCGGAUAACACCGUCCUCGCUCCCUCCGAGUCCCAAGUCUUUAUUGGCCAACAUCUCUUCUGGGCUUCUCAAUUUUCUGCCUGGCAAGUAGCAACCAUCCCCCAUGAGAGCUUUCGGUGAAGCAAUUAGGACUCUGACCUCUGGGGAAGGAGGAAGGACCUGCUCCCCUCGGAGAAAUAGACCCAUCUUCUCUCUUCACCGGCUGGUCGAUUCGGAGUGCAUGGUGAGCUUUGCUUUCCAUUACAUUUUGAGAGGGUUCCCAGUACCAUGCCCUCCUGCGAUCGUUCUUCCUCAGGUUCAUGGGUUGCAGGGCACAAUUGCGCCCAGUCUCCACGUGGUGUCCUUGCCCUGAGGGACUUCCUGUCUUGUCUCCCAGCAGGACAUCUUUGUGGUGGCUGCUCUUGAACUCACUCUGAACAUCUGCUUCUGUUCCUCUUCUGUAAAAAUAAGUGGCUGUGUUUACUUUAGGUGAAGAUUCUGCAAACUCUUCCUGCAGACGCCCAGACAGCAGACAUCUCGGACUCAGCUCUGCCUGCCGUGGGCCAGAGUCCUGCAUAAAAGAAUGGGCGCGACUGUGAUCCAAUAAAGCUUUAUUUAUGGACACCGGAA